RNAcentral lists this long non-coding RNA (785 nucleotides) under Bos taurus (domestic cattle). Its description in RNAcentral is "long non-coding RNA NONBTAT026123". Lineage: Eukaryota; Metazoa; Chordata; Mammalia; Artiodactyla; Bovidae. The record is from RNAcentral.
GUAACACAACAUUAGUCAAGUCACGACUAACAGCUACUUCUAUAAAAUGUACUUUAAUGGCCCAAAUAGCUACAUAAAUAUGUUCGUUAGGAAUUUUUCUAGGUUAUAUUUUUUCUAAGACCUUUUAAAUCCAGAUUGUUUAACCAAAGCACUGAUAAUAGGAAAUGUUUAAAGUCACUAGUACAUUGACAUACUUUUAAAUGGGUGUUUUAAGAUUGCUUCCCUAUUUAAAAAUUAUGUCUUCUGAGAAUUUUUCUGUGUUCGUCUUUGUGCUUCAUAUCCACCACUGAAAGUGAGAGCAGAGUACUGAGAAUAUCAGCCCUUCAGUAUCUUAGUACCAUCAGUGAAAUGGGACAGUGUGAUUUUAAAUACAUGACUGGGGAGACGAAGAGCAACUGCACGUUAGUUCCUAAAAUUAAAGUUUAAGAAUUGGCAAUGAUACACAAAUGCAUAUGAUAAUAAUUGAACAUUUAGUGUGUAGCUACUCACCCAGUCCCUAUCCUGUGAAUUGUGUGUGUGUUUGUGUCCAAACAUGCCCAGGGGAGGGGAGGCUGUCUACACUCUUGUUUGUGUAAAAUGUAAGGAUAUAUUUUUCACUUUUCUACACCUCUUCAUACAAGACAUGUUCAUUGUGAGAGGUCACAUUUUAAACAGAAGAUAAUGUAUGGAGUAAUUAUUCAUAAUAUACAUUUUUUUAAUAGCUGGAGUCAUGCAUUUCCACUACUACAUUAAAUAUUUAAUUGUUCAAUAUUCAAUUUAUGCUGAGCAAUCUUUGUUAUGUAAUA